GUGUUAUACAAUGAAUUUUAGUCUUAAUGCUUUUAUGCUUUGAUCAUGUAUGAAUUGAAUCUUGAAUUUGACUUGUAUGAGAAUAUUUAGUUGAAUUCCGAUCUAGAUUCAUUGUGCAAUUGUUAAUCCAUUUGAGAAUCUGAACUGACAGUUGUAACGGAAGAUUAACGUGCUUAACGAACUCCUUUACCGAUAGUUUUGAUCAAGAGAUUGGCGAAUUAUAGGUAAAGGAUAGGAUGAAUUUAUCAAGAGAUUGAGAUUCAUCAUCGAGUUAAUCUAGUUGUAACACGUGCGAAGUUCAUCACAUUGCGGUUGAUUACAUAUGAUUAUUACGAUUCAAU
This 341-nucleotide long non-coding RNA is filed under the name Trifolium pratense (red clover). RNAcentral describes it as "long non-coding RNA (TPRA_LNC011635)". Lineage: Eukaryota; Viridiplantae; Streptophyta; Magnoliopsida; Fabales; Fabaceae. The record is from RNAcentral.